This 460-nucleotide ribosomal RNA is filed under the name uncultured bacterium. Its description in RNAcentral is "partial 16S ribosomal RNA". It matches the Rfam family "Bacterial small subunit ribosomal RNA", at positions 338 to 795 of the family's 1533-position model. The record is from RNAcentral.
CCUACGGGAGGCAGCAGUGAGGAAUAUUGGUCAAUGGACGCAAGUCUGAACCAGCCAUGCCGCGUGCAGGAAGACGGCUCUAUGAGUUGUAAACUGCUUUUGUACGAGGGUAAACGCAGAUACGCGUAUCUGGCUGAAAGUAUCGUACGAAUAAGGAUCGGCUAACUCCGUGCCAGCAGCCGCGGUAAUACGGAGGAUUCAAGCGUUAUCCGGAUUUAUUGGGUUUAAAGGGUGCGUAGGCGGUCGGAUAAGUUAGAGGUGAAAUCCCGGGGCUCAACCCCGGAACUGCCUCUGAUACUGUUCGGCUAGAGAGUAGUUGCGGUAGGCGGAAUGUAUGGUGUAGCGGUGAAAUGCUUAGAGAUCAUACAGAACACCGAUUGCGAAGGCAGCUUACCAAGCUACUUCUGACGUUGAGGCACGAAAGCGUGGGGAGCAAACAGGAUUAGAUACCCUAGUAGUC